AGAGUUUGAUCCUGGCUCAGGACGAACGCUGGCGGCGUGCCUAAUACAUGCAAGUCGAACGCACUCUCGUUAGAUUGAAGAAGCUUGCUUCUGAUUGAUAACAUUUGAGUGAGUGGCGGACGGGUGAGUAACACGUGGGUAACUUGCCCUAAAGUGGGGGAUAACAUUUGGAAACAGAUGCUAAUACCGCAUAAAACCUAGCACCGCAUGGUGCAAGGUUGAAAGAUGGUUUCGGCUAUCACUUUAGGAUGGACCCGCGGUGCAUUAGUUAGUUGGUGAGGUAAAGGCUCACCAAGACCGUGAUGCAUAGCCGACCUGAGAGGGUAAUCGGCCACACUGGGACUGAGACACGGCCCAGACUCCUACGGGAGGCAGCAGUAGGGAAUCUUCCACAAUGGACGAAAGUCUGAUGGAGCAACGCCGCGUGAGUGAAGAAGGUUUUCGGAUCGUAAAACUCUGUUGUUGGAGAAGAACGUAUUUGAUAGUAACUGAUCAGGUAGUGACGGUAUCCAACCAGAAAGCCACGGCUAACUACGUGCCAGCAGCCGCGGUAAUACGUAGGUGGCAAGCGUUGUCCGGAUUUAUUGGGCGUAAAGCGAGCGCAGGCGGUUUCUUAAGUCUGAUGUGAAAGCCUUCGGCUCAACCGAAGAAGUGCAUCGGAAACUGGGAAACUUGAGUGCAGAAGAGGACAGUGGAACUCCAUGUGUAGCGGUG
Molecule: ribosomal RNA, 714 nt
Filed under: uncultured Lactobacillus sp.
Lineage: Bacteria; Bacillati; Bacillota; Bacilli; Lactobacillales; Lactobacillaceae
Description: bacterial SSU rRNA
Rfam family: Bacterial small subunit ribosomal RNA
Source: RNAcentral